Molecule: ribosomal RNA, 374 nt
Filed under: uncultured organism
Description: partial 16S ribosomal RNA
Rfam family: Bacterial small subunit ribosomal RNA
Source: RNAcentral
GGAGGGAGCGAGCGUUGUUCGGAAUCACUGGGCGUAAAGGGCGCGUAGGCGGCCGAGUAAGUCGUGUGUGAAAGACCGGGGGCUCAACUCCGUGUACUGCAUGCGAUACUGCUCGGCUAGAGAAAGGUAGAGGCGAGUGGAAUUCCCGGUGUAGCGGUGGAAUGCGUAGAUAUCGGGAAGAACACCUGUGGCGAAGGCGGCUCGCUGGGCCUUUUCUGACGCCGAAGUGCGAAAGCGUGGGGAGCAAACAGGAUUAGAUACCCUGGUAGUCCACGCCGUAAACGAUGGGCACUAGGCGUUGGGAGGAUUGACCCUCUCAGUGCCGUAGCUAACGCGUUAAAUGCCCCGCCUGGGGAGUACGGCCGCAAAGGCUG